This 1455-nucleotide ribosomal RNA is filed under the name uncultured bacterium. RNAcentral's name for it is "partial 16S ribosomal RNA". It matches the Rfam family "Bacterial small subunit ribosomal RNA". The record is from RNAcentral.
AGAGUUUGAUCAUGGCUCAGAGCGAACGCUGGCGGCAGGCUUAACACAUGCAAGUCGAGCGGGCGUAGCAAUACGUCAGCGGCAGACGGGUGAGUAACGCGUGGGAACGUACCUUUUGGUUCGGAACAACACAGGGAAACUUGUGCUAAUACCGGAUAAGCCCUUACGGGGAAAGAUUUAUCGCCGAAAGAUCGGCCCGCGUCUGAUUAGCUAGUUGGUGAGGUAACGGCUCACCAAGGCGACGAUCAGUAGCUGGUCUGAGAGGAUGAUCAGCCACAUUGGGACUGAGACACGGCCCAAACUCCUACGGGAGGCAGCAGUGGGGAAUAUUGGACAAUGGGGGCAACCCUGAUCCAGCCAUGCCGCGUGAGUGAUGAAGGCCCUAGGGUUGUAAAGCUCUUUUGUGCGGGAAGAUAAUGACGGUACCGCAAGAAUAAGCCCCGGCUAACUUCGUGCCAGCAGCCGCGGUAAUACGAAGGGGGCUAGCGUUGCUCGGAAUCACUGGGCGUAAAGGGUGCGUAGGCGGGUCUUUAAGUCAGGGGUGAAAUCCUGGAGCUCAACUCCAGAACUGCCUUUGAUACUGAAGAUCUUGAGUUCGGGAGAGGUGAGUGGAACUGCGAGUGUAGAGGUGAAAUGCGUAGAGAUCGGUAGGAACACCAGUGGCGAAGGCGGUCUCCUGGGGUUGACUUGACGCUGAUGCGCGAAAGCUGGGGGAGCGAACGGGAUUAGAUACCCCGGUAGUCCCAGCCCUAAACGAUGGAUACUAGGUGUCGGGGGUAUCGACCCCUCCGGUGCCGCAGCUAACGCAGUAAGUAUCCCGCCUGGGGAGUACGGCCGCAAGGUUGAAACUCAAAGGAAUUGACGGGGGCCCGCACAAGCGGUGGAGCAUGUUGUUUAGUACGUCACUAACCGUAGAACCUUACCAGGGUUUGACAUGGCGAGACAUCCGGUGAAAGUCGGCUUCCCCGCAAGGGGACUCGCACACAGGUGUUGCAUGGCUGUCGUCAGCUCGUGUCGUGAGAUGUUGGGUUAAGUCCCGCAACGAGCGCAACCCUCAUCCCAUGUUGCCAGCGGGUAAAGCCGGGAACUCUUGGGAAACUGCCGGGGUAACUCGGAGGAAGGUGAGGAUGACGUCAAGUCAGCAUGGCCCUUACACCCUGGGCUACAAACAUGCUACAAUGGACGGUAGACAGAGGGAUCCGAGGGGGCGACCCGGAGGCAAUCUCAGAAAUCCGUUCUCAGUUCGGAUUGCAGGCUGCAACUCGCCUGCAUGAAGCCGGAAUCGCUAGUAAACGCAGAUCAGCGAAGCUGCGUUGAAUACGUUCCCGGGCCUUGUACACACCGCCCGUCACGUCACCUGAGUUGUCUGCACCCGAAGUCGGUGGGGUAACCGUAAGGAGCCAGCCGCCGAAGGUGUGGGGAGCGAGGGGGACGAAGUCGUAACAAGGUAACCGU